RNAcentral lists this long non-coding RNA (603 nucleotides) under Mytilus galloprovincialis (Mediterranean mussel). Lineage: Eukaryota; Metazoa; Mollusca; Bivalvia; Mytilida; Mytilidae. The record is from RNAcentral.
UUAAGGAUGUACACCUCUGAGGAGCCAAAAAUUUCUAGAAUUAAACUUUUUUUCUUAACCUGAUUUUUGGGUUUAUAAGACUGUAACAAAAUAAUUGGUGAAGAAAAAAUCAUAUGGUGGAAGACUUCUUUUUUUUGCUACGGCCCUUUGAAAAUGCCCAAUUUUGAUGAUUUUCCCAUUUUUCAUCGAUUUUUACCUAUUUUUGGGCUAUUAUCAUGAAAAAAAUCACAGUUCCACAAUUAAACUUUUUCUCAUACUUUCUAUAAAGAUGAAGUGGACCAAUCUGAAUAAAUUUUACUUACAAAAACUAUAGGUAGGUGUUAAUAUAAGAAAGUUUUAUCAUAUUUUGAGGCUUUUUUGUGUAAAAUUUACCAUGCUGUCAAUUUUGUAUUUUUGUGAUUUUUCUCAGUUUUAAGAACAAAAUGCAUAUUAUUUCAACUUUUUUGUUAUAAAUGAAUGAAAAAAGACAUAUCUAAGUAAUUUGAAAAGACCAAAAUGAUAUGGGAUGUACAUGAUUCUUGUAAAAUCAUUUUUUGUAUCCCUCACCCAUUUUCUCAAAAUUUUGGCUAAAAAUACUGACUUGCUUGGUCGUGAAAUUUGAAA